Molecule: long non-coding RNA, 823 nt
Organism: Vigna angularis (adzuki bean)
Lineage: Eukaryota; Viridiplantae; Streptophyta; Magnoliopsida; Fabales; Fabaceae
Exons: 3
Source: RefSeq, a predicted model, not a curated record
UCUAAAAAUAUCUAAACCCUAACCUCCCUCCCCACCUUCGUCAAUUUUUCUCCCAAACCCUUUCCCACACCACAAUCUUCUCUUACUUGGCUUCGUGUUCGUCUUCUCCUGUUUGGCUUCAUGUUCGUCUUCUCUUGCUUGGUUGAGCGUCAAGGUAGAGCGUCGAGGCAUUUGUGGGUUGAGCGAGGUCGAGGUGCUCUGGCGCGCUCCCGCACUGAUCGAUCUUAGGUCGAGGUUGAGGUACUAGGAAUCUGCUGGGGCGAUUUCUAUCACUACAUUACAAAACGUUCCGUCUCCAAUCCCUCAAACUCAAAUCCUCCCUGAUUUUUGAAUGGAGCUUGCAAAAUCAAGGUCAAAUCCUGUGGUCGAGAGAUUGUAGUAGGUAUAUUCCUAGUUUGGUAGCUUACAAUUAAUUGUGGUCUUGUGUUUGGAAUCUUGAAGUACUUUUCUGCCCAAGCCAAAACCCUCUAAUUGGAUUACUCAUCAAAUUUAGGCAAUUUAACCCUCUGUCUGCACUGCCUUUCUUUAGCCAUCAUUGGUUGUGUUUGGAUCAUUGGUUGGAUGAAAUCUGAAUCCUGGAGGCACACAUGAUUCCUUAUCAACUGAUGAUCUCUCCUGAAACAAGCAAAGGAAAAGGAUUAAAUUCAUAUCUAGUUUAGUAUCUUUGAGAUUCAUGAUUUUGUAUUCUAAGUUAUAAAAUGCUAAAAUUAAAUUUAAGUUUCUUAUCUUUAAUCAAAUUAAUUUAAGUUAGACUCUUGGUCAUCCGAAUAAGUUUAAUCCAUGAAUGUAUGAAAGAUGAGUUGAUUGAGUUUUCGCUUGAACA